UUGAGAGUUUGAUCCUGGCUCAGAACGAACGCUGGCGGCGCGCUUAACACAUGCAAGUCGAACGAGAAGCCGUAGCAAUACGGUUGUAAAGUGGCAAACGGGUGAGUAAUGCGUGGGUAAUCUGCCCUCGGGUGGGGAAUAACUCCUCGAAAGGGGAGCUAAUGCCGACCAUGCCCGACAGACUCGUAAGAGAUUGUCGGAAAGCCGUACCGUGGGUGCGGCGCCUGAGGAUGAGCUCACGUCCUAUCAGCUUGUUGGCGGGGUAACGGCCCACCAAGGCUCCGACGGGUAGCUGGUCUGAGAGGACGACCAGCCACACUGGCACUGCGACACGGGCCAGACUCCUACGGGAGGCAGCAGUGAGGAAUAUUGCGCAAUGGGCGAAAGCCUGACGCAGCGACGCCGCGUGGGGGAUGAAGGCCUUCGGGUUGUAAACCCCUUUCAGGAGGGAAGAUGGGGCGGAUAACCGCUCGGACGGUACCUCCAGAAGCAGCCACGGCUAACUCUGUGCCAGCAGCCGCGGUAAGACAGAGGUGGCAAGCGUUGUUCGGAUUUACUGGGCGUAAAGAGUGCGUAGGUGGUGAGGUA
This 588-nucleotide ribosomal RNA is filed under the name Nitrospirota bacterium. RNAcentral describes it as "bacterial SSU rRNA". It matches the Rfam family "Bacterial small subunit ribosomal RNA", at positions 1 to 585 of the family's 1533-position model. The record is from RNAcentral. Lineage: Bacteria; Pseudomonadati; Nitrospirota.